Molecule: long non-coding RNA, 2117 nt
Organism: Cavia porcellus (domestic guinea pig)
Lineage: Eukaryota; Metazoa; Chordata; Mammalia; Rodentia; Caviidae
Exons: 6
Source: RefSeq, a predicted model, not a curated record
CCGCCUUGCCUUCCCUCACUUCCAGAGGGUGGCGCAAGGUUCUGCAGGCCACCCCUGUCUCCAGCGAGGGUAAAGGAGGCCGCGGGGCGAAGUAGGUGACAAGUUAUAACUGAGCGCAAACACUAGUCGCGAGCCCAGAUCCUUUUGCACGCAUUCACACGACCCCUGCUGCCUCUGGAGAGGCACGCCAGACAGUCUCUGGCGAGAGGCAGUAGAUGGGAGCGGAAAAGUGGCGGUGUUUGACUCUUGCUGCUUGCCGUAGAAAAUGGAUUGCCAGAAAUCAAGGAGCCGACUUGCCCAUUGCCCAAACUUCCAAACCGCUCCACCCCCUACUCCACCCCCGCGGCCUAGAACCGCAGCCACCCUAGGGAGUUACACUGAGAUGGACGCUGCUGUCACGGCUGCCGUGGGAGCUGAAGGAAGUUGGAUUUUUCCUCCCACCCCACAGCAUUUGUGAAACGUGCCGCUGCAGAAGGUCUCUUCUGGUUCCAGAUGAAUUUUAGGAGUGAUUUCUCUAGAUCUAUAAGAAUAUCACUGUGAAAGUUUUAAGUCCUGGGCCUCUGGUAAUAAAAUACAACAGAACAACACAAAACAAAGCCAAUGGAGACGAUGCAGUGAUACUGGUACAGAAUUUCACAGCAGGAUACUGGGAUAACACUAAUAGUUUCUUGUUUUAUUGCUGAAAUUCAACUUGAAUUUUUGAACUGAAGCAAUUCUACUGACAGCCCCCCAAGUAGCUAGGACUACUGUUGAGCCACCAUGCUGGGCAGAAUUUUUUUCAGAACUUUCAGUCCAUGUUCAUAGGCUUACACACAGAAACUACAUGGUGGAAGGGCCCAGGUCAAGAAAAGUUGUUCACAUCAUGAGAACCAGGAAGCAGAGCAAAGGGAGGAGCCAAAAAGGGAGAUAUACCCCUCCAGGCCAUGUCUCUAGUGACCAGCCUCUUCCAACCAGGCUGUACCUGCUAACAGCAAGUCACAUAUUGCCUGUAUAAUUCAGUCACCUAUUAAAAGCCCCAACUAUGGACAGCGGCCCUUCCAGGGGGAGAGCCAGCAGCAGCUCCUGAGAUCCACACCAUGUUGGAACUUAGGACGCCAGCAAGCCAAGCAAGCACCUCCCCUGCCUGGUAAUGAGUGGCAGUGUGGCAGACUGCGGCCCUUCCAGGGGGAGAACCAGCAGUAGCUCCUGAGAUCCGCGCCAUUUUGGAACAUAGGACACUGGGAAGCCAAGCAAGCACCUCCCCUCCCUGGUAAUGAGUGGCAGUGUGGCAGACUGCGGCCCUUCCAGGGGGAGAACCAGCAGUAGCUCCUGAGAUCCGCGCCAUGUUGGAACAUAGGACACUGGGAAGCCAAGCAAGCACCUCCCCUCCCUGGUAAUGACUGGCAGUGUGGCAGACUGCAGCCCUUCCAGUGGGAGAACCAGCAGCAGCUCUUGAGAGCCAUGCCAUGUUGGAACCGAGAACCCUGGGAAGCAAAGAAGCACCUCCCCUCCCUGAUAAGCGGUGGUGGUCCAGCAGCCUGCGGCCCUUCCAGGGGGAAAACCAGCAGCAGCUCCUGAGAUCCACACCAUGUUGGAACUUAGGAUGCUGUGAAACCAAACAACCAGCCUGUCUCCCUGCUAAGCAAUAGUGAACCUACUGAUGCAUGGCCUAGAGUCAAACAUCCCACUUCCCCUAUCCUCCUUCUUCUGUCCCCCCAUCAUCAAAUGGGAACCAGAAAUCUGAGCAUCUCUUGGGAGGUUGACAUAGCAAAUAAGGGGGACUUCCUUCUACCAUCUCUUUGAAGGCAAAUAUUUUUAUUACUAUUUUGUUCUUUUCUGAUUAAUGGUACUGCUCUAUUCAAUAUUGUUUUGAUAAGUUCUAUAGUGUUCUAUAUUUUAUCUCAUUUUGAUAUAUGUGAUUGAAAGAACAACUAUUAUAAAAAUAAUAUAUUUAAUCUUUAUAAAAUAUAUUUAUUUUUAUAAAAUAUUUUAUCUUUAUAAAAUAUACUGUGAUACCUAUUACUGUUAUCCUGGUAACCUGCUGUGAAGUUCUGUACCAGUUUCACUGUAUGAUCUUAGUUGGCUUUAUUCUGUCUUGUUCUGUUGUAUACUUUCAAAAUAAAAUUAAAAAAAAAAAA